Molecule: ribosomal RNA, 253 nt
Filed under: uncultured bacterium
Lineage: Bacteria
Description: partial 16S ribosomal RNA
Rfam family: Bacterial small subunit ribosomal RNA
Source: RNAcentral
UACGUAGGGUGCAAGCGUUGUCCGGAAUUAUUGGGCGUAAAGAGCUCGUAGGCGGCUUGUCGCGUCGAAUGUGAAAUCCCGGGGCUCAACCCCGGGUCUGCAUUCGAUACGGGCAGACUAGAGUUCGGUAGGGGAGUCUGGAAUUCCUGGUGUAGCGGUGAAAUGCGCAGAUAUCAGGAGGAACACCGGUGGCGAAGGCGGGACUCUGGGCCGAUACUGACGCUGAGGAGCGAAAGCGUGGGGAGCAAACAGG